UACAGAGAGUGCGAACGUUGUUCGGAAUUACUGGGCUUAAAGCGCACGUAGGCGGCAUCGUAAGUGUCCGGUGAAAUCCCACGGCUCACCCGUGGAACUGCCUGGCAGACUGCGAUGCUCGAGUGUGGUAGGGGAGAGCGGAACUCCUGGUGGAGCGGUGAAAUGCGUAGAUAUCAGGAGGAACACCGGUGGCGAAGGCGGCUCUCUGGUCCACAACUGACGCUGAGGUGCGAAAGCUAGGGGAGCAAACGGG
RNAcentral lists this ribosomal RNA (253 nucleotides) under uncultured bacterium. RNAcentral's name for it is "partial 16S ribosomal RNA". It matches the Rfam family "Bacterial small subunit ribosomal RNA", at positions 524 to 776 of the family's 1533-position model. The record is from RNAcentral.